UUGCACCGAAAUGUGUUGAUAUGAAUAAAAAUUUCAUCAUUGUUAGACCCACUAUAAGUUUAACAAGUUCGUUGCUGUCUCAGUAAAUUUGAACGGGCGGCAAAUCGACUCAGUGCGUAUUUGUUCGAUAAAUACAUUGCUUAUCACUGUAGCACACUUACUCACUGUCAAGUACUUGUGCACUCGCUUGGCUGUCAGUAAUGAAUGAACUGAACUAAUGACUGAUAAACGCGUCUGGUGGGGAGAAUUGUUAAUCGCAAAAUAUUGUGUUCGUUAUUACUAAUAUCCAAAUGAUAAAGGUUUUACAAGCGGCUCUGGUUUGUUGUAAUACAAAAAUAAAAUAAAUAAAACAAGUUAAAAUAAUAAAUUUAUUGUUUUGUUUACCCAUCGAAGUCACGGAAUAAAUAUAGAGUAAAUGUUUUCUUAGAAUAUAGAAACAAGUAAAAAAAACAUGAAGUUCGACCGGGCCCAACUUCUAAUAUCCUCCAUCAUUGGGUAAAGAAAACAUUUUUAGGCAAAAGUAUCUGGAUUCAAACGUGUUCCACUUUAAACUACAAACUCCAGUGAGAUCAGUAGGAGAAUAGUUGUAGCCGUUUAAGGGGGCCAUACUAAAACGGGAGCCUAUAUAGACAAUUCUAUACUACAACGAUUGUAAUCUAUUGCGAGACUUACAGCCUGUUCCACGAUCUCGAAAGAAAAUUUGUGCGAACGAAGGCUACUCACUCACUUUCGCAUAAGAAUGCGUUCCACUAACUUUCGUUCUUUCUUUCGCAUAGCCUUACGUGAUUCAGUGUUGCAAAAUAUUUUUUGGCAAAAUUAAUCGCGAAAUAAGGCAAAAAAAAGCGCCAAAUGUCUAAUAUAAACGCGAAAAAGCAGCAGUGGCUCUGUCUCAACUGACAGUUCAGUUGUAAACAAACAAAUUGUAAAUAAACAAACAAAAUAAAAUUUCUAGUGAUUGUGUUCAGAUUAUUUGUGUUCUUAAAAAAGAAAAAAAUGAAUAUUUCUGUAGCCCUAUUUUUUAUGGAUGAUGAGGAGGAGGUUCAAAUUGUGCCACGGAGGCAUUUAAGAGAUGCUUCGAAUUUAUUUGAAGUACCUAACAACCAGUUUGUGUCUUCCAAUGGUCUUCAUGGGAUUGCCUGCUGCUUCCAAAAAUUGGCACUCCUCUGGCGAACUUAGGAUUCUCCCCCAUAUACUCAACUAUUGCCCGCAGCUGUGUAGUUUUUUCGUGCUGGAAUUGAGAAAAUAAAAAAAAUAU
This is a long non-coding RNA of Musca domestica (house fly), 1255 nucleotides long. RefSeq lists it as uncharacterized. The record is from RefSeq and is a predicted model, not a curated record. The transcript is spliced from 2 exons. Lineage: Eukaryota; Metazoa; Arthropoda; Insecta; Diptera; Muscidae.